GAUGAAGAACGUAGUGAAAUGCGAUAAGUAAUGUGAAUUGCAGAAUUCAGUGAAUCAUCGAAUCUUUGAACGCACACUGCGCCCGCCAGUAUUCUGGCGGGCAUGCCUGUUCGAGCGUCAUUUCAACCAUCAAGCCCCAGGCUUGUGUUGGGGACCUGCGGCUGCCGCAGGCCCUGAAAACCAGUGGCGGGCUCGCUGUCACACCGGGCGUAGUAGAUUUUAUCUCGCUCUGGGCGUGCUGCGGGUUCCGGCCGUUAAAAAACCCUUUUAACCCAAGGUUGACCUCGGAUCAGGUAGGAAUACCCGCUGAACUUAAGCAUAUCAAUAAGCGGAGGA
This 336-nucleotide unclassified non-coding RNA is filed under the name soil metagenome. Its description in RNAcentral is "partial contains 5.8S ribosomal RNA, internal transcribed spacer 2, and large subunit ribosomal RNA". The stretch from base 1 to 120 matches the Rfam family "5.8S ribosomal RNA", at positions 35 to 154 of the family's 154-position model. The record is from RNAcentral.